Nerophis ophidion (straightnose pipefish) is the source of this 537-nucleotide long non-coding RNA. RefSeq lists it as uncharacterized. NCBI's taxonomy places the organism in Eukaryota, Metazoa, Chordata, Actinopteri, Syngnathiformes, Syngnathidae. The record is from RefSeq and is a predicted model, not a curated record. The transcript is spliced from 3 exons.
UUGUUACAUUACUACUUUGUUUGAGAAGCUUCAUGUCUGCAUUGAGCCUAAAUUUAACAGUUUUUGAAGGGUUUAGUUCUUUGUUUUAUUUCUGUGUCACUGACUUUUUUCAUUUUUAUGUGUGGAUUUGUUAGGCACAUCAACACAUGAUGUAGACAUCGUGUCCAAAAGAAGAGCGAGACGUAAUCCUGAGGCUGAAGCCACCGAGUUUAUUUGAUCUGGAUGUGACAAGUCUUGUUUUAAGGCCCAGUGGAUCAAUGAUUGGAAAGACACCAACUGUUGAUGUUCUAUCUCAACAUUCUCCAGACUCAUGUGAGCGAUAAACCGACUUCAUCCCUCCAACAGACACCAACUGUUGGGGUUCUAUCUCAACAUUCUCCAGAUUCAGAUGUGAGCGAUAAACCGACUUCAUCCCUCCAACAGGUUAUUACAAGUCUAUUUUUACUAUAUCUGCUCUAAAUGUGACCCAACCUAUAUUUUGAAAGACAUUUAUUAAUUUUAAUCUCUCACAGAUCAGUUUAUAUGACAACAUUUUCG